RNAcentral lists this ribosomal RNA (372 nucleotides) under uncultured bacterium. Its description in RNAcentral is "bacterial SSU rRNA". It matches the Rfam family "Bacterial small subunit ribosomal RNA", at positions 524 to 898 of the family's 1533-position model. The record is from RNAcentral.
UACGGAGGAUCCGAGCGUUAUCCGGAUUUAUUGGGUUUAAAGGGUGCUCAGGCGGGGGGUUAAGUCGGCGGUGAAAUUUUGCAGCUCAACUGUAAAAGUGCCUUCGAAACUGGUUCCCUUGAGUGCGGAUGAGGUAGGCGGAAUUUGUGGUGUAGCGGUGAAAUGCAUAGAUAUCACGAGGAACUCCGAUUGCGCAGGCAGCUUACCAAGCCGUAACUGACGCUCAAGCACGAAGGCGUGGGGAUCAAACAGGAUUAGAUACCCUGGUAGUCCACGCAGUAAACGAUGAUUACUGGCUGUUUGCGAUAUAAUGUAAGCGGCUGAGCGAAAGCGUUAAGUAAUCCACCUGGGGAGUACGUUCGCAAGAAUGAA